This 253-nucleotide ribosomal RNA is filed under the name uncultured bacterium. RNAcentral describes it as "partial 16S ribosomal RNA". It matches the Rfam family "Bacterial small subunit ribosomal RNA", at positions 524 to 776 of the family's 1533-position model. The record is from RNAcentral.
UACGGAGGGCGCAAGCGUUGUUCGGAAUCACUGGGCGUAAAGCGCGUGUAGGCGGCCGGGCAAGUCGGAUGUGAAAUCCCGAGGCUCAACCUCGGAACUGCAUUCGAAACUGCUCGGCUCGAGUCCCGGAGAGGAUGGCGGAAUUCACGGGGUAGGGGUGAAAUCCGUAGCUAUCGGGAGGAACACCAGUGGAGAAGGCGGCCAUCUGGACGGUGACUGACGCUGAGACGCCGAAGCGUGGCGAGGAAUCAGG